GGGAAGAAGUGAGGAGCGCCUCUGCCCGGCCACCCUGUCUGGGAAGUGAGGAGCGCCUCUGCCCGGCCGCUCCGUCUGGGAAGUCUACCACGGAGGCCAGAAGCAAUGUGGGGGCUGGACGUGGUGGCUCACGCCUGUGGUCCCGGCACUCUGGGGGGCGAGGCGGGUUGAUCACUUCGGGCUAGGAGUUCGAGACCAGUCUGGCCAACUUGGCGAAACAUGAAGAAUACAACAGACAAACCAACCAACCAACUCAGUGACAACAAAACAGGUCUACCCUGGAGUCAUACUCUAAUUUUUUCUAUUUUCCUCCCUUUCUGAUCCUUUAUCCCACUUUCUUUUUCUUCCUCUUCCUUCUCCCUCUUCUUUGUCAAAUAGAGGAUUGAGUUAUUAUCACUGAUCCGUAUAAAGUCCCUCUCUCAUUUAUUUUAACUCCCACCCCCAUUUCUAUUCCCUGACUUCCCAUGUGCAACCUUCCUAAUAUGUUUGAUACGCAUCUUUUUGUUUGUAUGUAUUUUUAGAAAAUGUUUAUUGUU
Symphalangus syndactylus (siamang) is the source of this 536-nucleotide long non-coding RNA. RefSeq lists it as uncharacterized. Lineage: Eukaryota; Metazoa; Chordata; Mammalia; Primates; Hylobatidae. The record is from RefSeq and is a predicted model, not a curated record.